RNAcentral lists this ribosomal RNA (1176 nucleotides) under Salirhabdus sp. 63CAL. Its description in RNAcentral is "bacterial SSU rRNA". It matches the Rfam family "Bacterial small subunit ribosomal RNA", at positions 373 to 1533 of the family's 1533-position model. The record is from RNAcentral. Lineage: Bacteria; Bacillati; Bacillota; Bacilli; Caryophanales; Bacillaceae.
GGACCAAAGUCUUGACCCAGCCACUCCGCGUUAUGUGAUGAAGGUCUUCGGAUCGUAAAGCUCUGUUGUUAGGGAAGAACGGCUGCCGUUCAAAUUACGGCGGGACCUUGAACUGUACCUAACCAUAAACCCCCGGCUUACCUACUUGCCCACCACCCGCGGUAUUACAUAGGUGGCAACCUUAGUCCGAAAUAAUGGGCCUUAAACGGCUCUCAGGCGGUUUCUUAAAUCUGAUGUAAAACCCCCCGGCUCAACCGGGGAACGGUCAUUGUAAACUGCGGAACAUAAUUGCAUAAAAGGAGAGUGGAAUUCCACGUGUAGCGGUGAAAUGCGUAGAUAUGUGGAGGAACACCAUUGGCGAAGGCGACUCUCUGGUCUGUAACUGAMSCUAAGGAGCAAAAGCGUGGGGAGCRAACAGGAUUARAUACCCUGGUAGUCCACGCCGUAAACAAUGARUAGCUAACCUGUUAGGGGGUUUCCGACCCUUAGUGCUGAAGCUAACGCAUUAAGCACUCCGCCUGGGGAGUACGGUCGCAAGACUGAAACUCAAAGGAAUUGACGGGGGCCCGCACAAGCGGUGGAGCAUGUGGUUUAAUUCGAAGCAACGCGAAAAACCUUACCAGGUCUUGACAUCCUCUGACCAUCCUAGAGAUAGGACGUCCCCUUCGGGGUCAGAAUGACAGGUGGUGCAUGGUUGUCGUCAGCUCGUGUCGUGAGAUGUUGGGUUAAGUCCCGCAACGAGCGCAACCCUGGYUCUUAGUUGCCAGCAUUCAGUUGGGCACUCUAAGGUGACUGCCGGUGACAAACCGGAGGAAGGUGGGGAUGACGUCAAAUCAUCAUGCCCCUUAUGACCUGGGCUACACACGUGCUACAAUGGACAGAACAAAGGGCUGCGAAACCGCGAGGUUAAGCCAAUCCCACUAAUCUGUUCUCAGUUCGGAUUGCAGUCUGCAACUCGACUGCGUGAAGCUGGAAUCGCUAGUAAUCGCGGAUCACCAUGCCGCGGUGAAUACGUUCCCGGGCCUUGUACACACCGCCCGUCACACACAGAGUUUUUUACACCCGAARUCGGUGAGGUAACCUUAUGGAGCCAGCCCCCGAAGGUGUGACACAUGAUUGGGGUGAAAUCGUAACAAGGUAUCCGUAUCGGAAAGUGCGGCUGGAUCACCUCCUUAU